CGUUGAUUACGUCCCUGCCCUUUGUACACACCGCCCGUCGCUGCUACCGAUUGAAUGGCUCAGUGAGGCGUCCGGACUGGCCCAGGGAGGAGGGAAACCACCACUCAGGGCCGGAAAGCUCUCCAAACUCGGUCAUUUAGAGGAAGUAAAAGUCGUAACAAGG
This 163-nucleotide ribosomal RNA is filed under the name Clonostachys rosea. RNAcentral's name for it is "partial small subunit ribosomal RNA". It matches the Rfam family "Eukaryotic small subunit ribosomal RNA", at positions 1639 to 1799 of the family's 1831-position model. The record is from RNAcentral. Lineage: Eukaryota; Fungi; Ascomycota; Sordariomycetes; Hypocreales; Bionectriaceae.